RNAcentral lists this ribosomal RNA (497 nucleotides) under uncultured bacterium. RNAcentral's name for it is "partial 16S ribosomal RNA". It matches the Rfam family "Bacterial small subunit ribosomal RNA", at positions 28 to 507 of the family's 1533-position model. The record is from RNAcentral.
GAUGAACGCUGGCGGCGUGCCUAAUACAUGCAAGUCGAGCGAACGGACGAGAAGCUUGCUUUUCUGAUGUUGGCGGCGGACGGGUGUGUAACACGUGGAUAACCUACCUAUAAGACUGGGAUAACUUCGGGAAACCGGAGCUAAUACCGGAUAAUAUUUUGAACCGCAUGGUUCAAAAGUGAAAGACGGUCUUGCUGUCACUUAUAGAUGGAUCCGCGCUGCAUUAGCUAGUUGGUAAGGUAACGGCUUACCAAGGCAACGAUGCAUAGCCGACCUGAGAGGGUGAUCGGCCACACUGGAACUGAGACACGGUCCAGACUCCUACGGGAGGCAGCAGUAGGGAAUCUUCCGCAAUGGGCGAAAGCCUGACGGAGCAACGCCGCGUGAGUGAUGAAGGUCUUCGGAUCGUAAAACUCUGUUAUUAGGGAAGAACAUAUGUGUAAGUAACUGUGCACAUCUUGACGGUACCUAAUCAGAAAGCCACGGCUAACUACGUG